RNAcentral lists this ribosomal RNA (615 nucleotides) under Escherichia coli. RNAcentral's name for it is "bacterial SSU rRNA". It matches the Rfam family "Bacterial small subunit ribosomal RNA", at positions 100 to 712 of the family's 1533-position model. The record is from RNAcentral. Lineage: Bacteria; Pseudomonadati; Pseudomonadota; Gammaproteobacteria; Enterobacterales; Enterobacteriaceae.
GACGGGUGAGUAAUGUCUGGGAAACUGCCUGAUGGAGGGGGAUAACUACUGGAAACGGUAGCUAAUACCGCAUAACGUCGCAAGACCAAAGAGGGGGACCUUCGGGCCUCUUGCCAUCGGAUGUGCCCAGAUGGGAUUAGCUAGUAGGUGGGGUAACGGCUCACCUAGGCGACGAUCCCUAGCUGGUCUGAGAGGAUGACCAGCCACACUGGAACUGAGACACGGUCCAGACUCCUACGGGAGGCAGCAGUGGGGAAUAUUGCACAAUGGGCGCAAGCCUGAUGCAGCCAUGCCGCGUGUAUGAAGAAGGCCUUCGGGUUGUAAAGUACUUUCAGCGGGGAGGAAGGGAGUAAAGUUAAUACCUUUGCUCAUUGACGUUACCCGCAGAAGAAGCACCGGCUAACUCCGUGCCAGCAGCCGCGGUAAUACGGAGGGUGCAAGCGUUAAUCGGAAUUACUGGGCGUAAAGCGCACGCAGGCGGUUUGUUAAGUCAGAUGUGAAAUCCCCGGGCUCAACCUGGGAACUGCAUCUGAUACUGGCAAGCUUGAGUCUCGUAGAGGGGGGUAGAAUUCCAGGUGUAGCGGUGAAAUGCGUAGAGAUCUGGAGGAAUACCGG